CAAGUUCGAGCGGAAACGACACUAACAAUCCUUCGGGUGCGUUAAUGGGCGUCGAGCGGCGGACGGGUGAGUAAUGCCUAGGAAAUUGCCUUGAUGUGGGGGAUAACCAUUGGAAACGAUGGCUAAUACCGCAUGAUGCCUACGGGCCAAAGAGGGGGACCUUCGGGCCUCUCGCGUCAAGAUAUGCCUAGGUGGGAUUAGCUAGUUGGUGAGGUAAUGGCUCACCAAGGCGACGAUCCCUAGCUGGUCUGAGAGGAUGAUCAGCCACACUGGAACUGAGACACGGUCCAGACUCCUACGGGAGGCAGCAGUGGGGAAUAUUGCACAAUGGGCGAAAGCCUGAUGCAGCCAUGCCGCGUGUAUGAAGAAGGCCUUCGGGUUGUAAAGUACUUUCAGUUGUGAGGAAGGGUGUGUAGUUAAUAGCUGCGCAUCUUGACGUUAGCAACAGAAGAAGCACCGGCUAACUCCGUGCCAGCAGCCGCGGUAAUACGGAGGGUGCGAGCGUUAAUCGGAAUUACUGGGCGUAAAGCGCAUGCAGGUGGUUCAUUAAGUCAGAUGUGAAAGCCCGGGGCUCAACCUCGGAACUGCAUUUGAAACUGGUGAACUAGAGUGCUGUAGAGGGGGGUAGAAUUUCAGGUGUAGCGGUGAAAUGCGUAGAGAUCUGAAGGAAUACCAGUGGCGAAGGCGGCCCCCUGGACAGAU
This 702-nucleotide ribosomal RNA is filed under the name Vibrio sp. SPRZ63. RNAcentral describes it as "bacterial SSU rRNA". It matches the Rfam family "Bacterial small subunit ribosomal RNA", at positions 58 to 738 of the family's 1533-position model. Lineage: Bacteria; Pseudomonadati; Pseudomonadota; Gammaproteobacteria; Vibrionales; Vibrionaceae. The record is from RNAcentral.